This 450-nucleotide ribosomal RNA is filed under the name uncultured bacterium. Its description in RNAcentral is "partial 16S ribosomal RNA". It matches the Rfam family "Bacterial small subunit ribosomal RNA", at positions 338 to 795 of the family's 1533-position model. The record is from RNAcentral.
CCUACGGGGGGCUGCAGUAGGGAAUAUUGGACAAUGGGGGCAACCCUGAUCCAGCCAUGCCGCGUGAGUGAAGAAGGCCCUCGGGUUGUAAAGCUCUUUUGUCCGGAAAGAAAAGCAAUCGGUUAAUACCCGGUUGUUCUGACGGUACCGGAAGAAUAAGCACCGGCUAACUUCGUUCCAGCAGACGCGGUAAUACGAAGGGUGCAAGCGUUACUCGGAACUAGUGGGGGUAAUUCGUGCGUACUGGUGUGAAAGCCCUGGGCUCAACCUGGGAAUGGCAUUGGAUACUGGCGAGCUAGAGUGCGGUAGAGGGUAGUGGAAUUCCCGGUGUAGCAGUGAAAUGCGUAGAGAUCGGGAGGAACAUCUGUGGCGAAGGCGACUGCCUGGACCAGCACUGACACUGAGGCACGAAAGCGUGGGGAGCAAACAGGAUUAGAUACCCGGGUAGUC